Molecule: ribosomal RNA, 253 nt
Filed under: uncultured bacterium
Lineage: Bacteria
Description: partial 16S ribosomal RNA
Rfam family: Bacterial small subunit ribosomal RNA
Source: RNAcentral
UACGGGGGGGGCAAGCGUUGUCCGGAAUUACUGGGCGUAAAGGGCCAGUAGGCGGCCAACUAAGUCCGACGUGAAAUCCCAAGGCUUAACCUUGGAACUGCGUCGGAUACUGGAUGGCUUGAAUUCGGGAGAGGGAUGCAGAAUUCCAGGUGUAGCGGUGAAAUGCGUAGAUAUCGUUUGGAACGCCAAUGGUGAAAACAGGUAGCUGGGAGUGUGCCGACGCUGAGACACGAAAGUCAGGGGAGCGAACGGG